RNAcentral lists this ribosomal RNA (328 nucleotides) under eubacterial soil DNA clone S-38. RNAcentral's name for it is "bacterial SSU rRNA". It matches the Rfam family "Bacterial small subunit ribosomal RNA", at positions 846 to 1178 of the family's 1533-position model. The record is from RNAcentral.
CCGUAGCUAACGCGUGAAGUGAGCCGCCUGGGGAGUACGGCCGCAAGGUUAANACUCAAAGGAAUUGACGGGGACCCGCACAAGCGGUGGAUGAUGUGGAUUAAUUCGAUGCAACGCGAACAACCUUACCUACCCUUGACAUGUCCGAGAGCCUGCUGAAAGGUGGGUGUGCCUGAAAGGGAAUCGGAACACAGGUGCUGCAUGGCUGUCGUCAGCUCGUGUCGUGAGAUGUUGGGUUAAGUCCCGCAACGAGCGCAACCCUUGUCCCUAGUUGCUACGCAAGGGCACUCUAGGGAGACUGCCGGUGACAAACCGGAGGAAGGUGGGG